GUGGUUCUCCUAAAUUGGAGAGAAUUUUGAGUCUUCUUACUUUUCCUCGAUUGAAACUUCAAUAGAGGUCCCAUGUUUCUCAAAAAACUUCAUCGGCUUAGGCGUACUUCUCAGCCCGAUCCAGCAUCUCCGAAAAGUCCUUUAGACAUUUCUUCUCCAAAGAAUAAAAAAGAGAAUUUUUCUAAAGUCCACCCUUCAGGGCGGUCAUAGAGACCGACUGGUUCAAGUCGUGCACUUUCAAGAAGGUCACAUUGAACC
RNAcentral lists this long non-coding RNA (258 nucleotides) under Elaeis guineensis (African oil palm). Its description in RNAcentral is "long non-coding RNA (EGUI_LNC037032)". The record is from RNAcentral. Lineage: Eukaryota; Viridiplantae; Streptophyta; Magnoliopsida; Arecales; Arecaceae.